This 430-nucleotide ribosomal RNA is filed under the name Alphaproteobacteria bacterium. RNAcentral describes it as "bacterial SSU rRNA". It matches the Rfam family "Bacterial small subunit ribosomal RNA", at positions 1 to 436 of the family's 1533-position model. The record is from RNAcentral. Lineage: Bacteria; Pseudomonadati; Pseudomonadota; Alphaproteobacteria.
GAACUGAAGAGUUUGAUCAUGGCUCAGAUUGAACGCUGGCGGCAGGCCUAACACAUGCAAGUCGAGCGUGAAAGGUCUUCGGACUGAGUAAAGCGGCGGACGGGUGAGUAAUGCUUGGGAAUCUACCUAGUAGUGGGGGAUAACGUGUGGAAACGCACGCUAAUACCGCAUACGUCCUACGGGAGAAAGCAGGGGACCUUCGGGCCUUGCGCUAUUAGAUGAGCCCAAGUCGGAUUAGCUAGUUGGUAGGGUAAAGGCCUACCAAGGCGACGAUCCGUAGCUGGUCUGAGAGGAUGAUCAGCCACACUGGGACUGAGACACGGCCCAGACUCCUACGGGAGGCAGCAGUGGGGAAUAUUGGACAAUGGGCGAAAGCCUGAUCCAGCCAUGCCGCGUGUGUGAAGAAGGCCUUAGGGUUGUAAAGCACUUU